RNAcentral lists this ribosomal RNA (253 nucleotides) under uncultured bacterium. Its description in RNAcentral is "partial 16S ribosomal RNA". It matches the Rfam family "Bacterial small subunit ribosomal RNA", at positions 524 to 776 of the family's 1533-position model. The record is from RNAcentral.
GACGUAGGGUGCAAGCGUUGUCCGGAUUUAUUGGGCGUGAAGGGCUCGUAGGCGGCCAACUAAGUCGGAUGUGAAAUCCCCAGGCUCAACUUGGGAACUGCAUCCGAUACUGGAUGGCUUGAAUCCGGGAGAGGGAUGCAGAAUUCCAGGUGUAGCGGUGAAAUGCGUAGAUAUCCGGAGGAACACCGAUGGCGAAGGCAGCUCUCUGGCCUGACACUGACGCUGAGGUGCGAAAGCGUGGGGAGCGAACGGG